RNAcentral lists this ribosomal RNA (506 nucleotides) under Cryptosporidium hominis. Its description in RNAcentral is "partial small subunit ribosomal RNA". It matches the Rfam family "Eukaryotic small subunit ribosomal RNA", at positions 496 to 1025 of the family's 1831-position model. Lineage: Eukaryota; Apicomplexa; Conoidasida; Eucoccidiorida; Cryptosporidiidae. The record is from RNAcentral.
UUUGGUUUUGUAAUUGGAAUGAGUUAAGUAUAAACCCCUUUACAAGUAUCAAUUGGAGGGCAAGUCUGGUGCCAGCAGCCGCGGUAAUUCCAGCUCCAAUAGCGUAUAUUAAAGUUGUUGCAGUUAAAAAGCUCGUAGUUGGAUUUCUGUUAAUAAUUUAUAUAAAAUAUUUUGAUGAAUAUUUAUAUAAUAUUAACAUAAUUCAUAUUACUAUUUUUUUUUUUAGUAUAUGAAAUUUUACUUUGAGAAAAUUAGAGUGCUUAAAGCAGGCAUAUGCCUUGAAUACUCCAGCAUGGAAUAAUAUUAAAGAUUUUUAUCUUUUUUAUUGGUUCUAAGAUAAGAAUAAUGAUUAAUAGGGACAGUUGGGGGCAUUUGUAUUUAACAGUCAGAGGUGAAAUUCUUAGAUUUGUUAAAGACAAACUAAUGCGAAAGCAUUUGCCAAGGAUGUUUUCAUUAAUCAAGAACGAAAGUUAGGGGAUCGAAGACGAUCAGAUACCGUCGUAGUC